AACGAACGCUGGCGGCAUGCCUAACACAUGCACGUCGAACGAUGCCUUCGGGCAUAGUGGCGCACGGGUGCGUAACGCGUGGGAAUCUGCCUUUCGGUUCGGAAUAACUCAUGGAAACUUGAGCUAAUACCGGAUAACGUCGCAAGACCAACGAUUUAUCACCGAAAGAUGAGCCCGCGUAGGAUUAGCUAGUUGGUGAGGUAAAGGCUCACCAAGGCGACGAUCCUUAGCUGGUCUGAGAGGAUGAUCAGCCACACUGGGACUGAGACACGGCCCAGACUCCUACGGGAGGCAGCAGUGGGGAAUAGAGGACAAGGGGCGAAAGCCUGAGCCAGCGAGGCCGCGUGAGUGAUGAAGGCGUUAGGGUUGUAAAGCUCUUUUACCCGAGAAGAUAAUGACGGUACCGGGAGAAUAAGCCCCGGCUAACUCCGUG
This 433-nucleotide ribosomal RNA is filed under the name uncultured bacterium. Its description in RNAcentral is "partial 16S ribosomal RNA". It matches the Rfam family "Bacterial small subunit ribosomal RNA", at positions 29 to 507 of the family's 1533-position model. The record is from RNAcentral.